Molecule: long non-coding RNA, 3376 nt
Filed under: Capsicum annuum
Lineage: Eukaryota; Viridiplantae; Streptophyta; Magnoliopsida; Solanales; Solanaceae
Description: long non-coding RNA (CANN_LNC022224)
Source: RNAcentral
UGAAAUGAUAUUACAAUUUAGGAAGGAAUUGGAGUAGCCUAAAGAGCAAAUUAGGAAGAAUUGCUCUUGAACAACUUACCAGAACUCAAUUGAGUUGUUAUCGAAAGAGAAAAGAGAGAAACUUGUUUAUUGCUCUUGAGUCAAUGUUCUGAUGAUUACAACCCUUCAAUACUAUGACUAUUUAAUGAGGAAAAAAGAUGAAAAGAGUGAAACAGGGGUUCCAAAAGUUAGUUAUAACUAACUCUAGUAGUAAACGACCAUAACAGACCCUAACAGUCUUAACAGCUAGUGGGACCACGUGCAGCUCACGUGACUGACUGAUUUUAACAAGUAACUACAAACAUAAAUCUAAAAAUGGAAAUAAUACUCAAUUAUGAAAAAUCAUUACAAAUGGAUCAUAUCAAAUAUUCCCUCUUCAAAUCAUCCUUGUCCUCAAGGAUCCAGGUGGGGAUACUCGGCUCCGACAAAGUCCAAAUCCUCUCAGGUGCUAUCCUCAUCAGCUACAUUCAUCCAUUUGAUGAGAAUCUGUUCAAUGGCUUGACCAUUUGUGGGGGAUAAACGUCUAUUAAUAAUAGCCUCAGGAACUCGCAAAAUAGGACCCGAGUUAGUUUGCACCACAAGCAAUGUAACAGACGCAAUGUUGGAACCUAACUUCUUCUUCAACUGGAAAAUAUGAAAAACGGGGUGGAUUUUUGAGGUUGCACAGAGAUCUAGUGUGUAAUAAACCUUUUCAACUCUAGCCAUAAUUUGAAAAGGACCAAAGUAUUUGGCUGAGAGUUUUUAAAAACCAUGAUCUCUGAGAGAGUUCGAAGUCUACAAUGUUGUAAAACACUGUGAAUUCUGUAAAAAAUGAAAGGGUGAGACUGUGGCUUGUCCUGUCUUGAUGCAACCCCUUCCUAUUCAUAUCUGGGUAUGGCAAGAUAUCUCAAUGGAUUUUAUAGAGGGCCUAUCAAGAGUUAGGAUGUCAUCUUUGUGGUUGUGGAAAGGCUGAGCAAAGCCGAACACUUUAUGUCUCUUAAGCACCCUUAUACAACAUUAGAGGUAGCUCAAUUGUUUAUGGAUGGAGAUUUUAAACUCCAUGGCAUGCCCAGAUCAAUUAUUUCUGAUAAGGAUACAGUAUUUACAAGCAAGUUUUGGCGGGAACACUUUAAACUACAAAAGGUAUCUCCUUUGACUUCCACAACUUACUACCCCCAAACAGAUGGGCAAACUGAAGUUGUCAAUAGAUGUUUGGAAUGCUACCUCCAGUGCAUGAUCUUUGAACGACCCUAAGCUUGGCCUCAUUGGCUUCCACUAGAAGAAUGGUGGUAUAAUACCUCUUUCCACUCAGCACUAAAGCUAACACCUUAUGAGGGGAUUAUGGACAAAAACCUCUCCUCUAUUGCCUUGCAUGGAUUUUGACUCUCACAUUGAUGCAGUUGAUUGAAGUUUGCAGUCUAGGGAAGCUACCAUGCGAGUCCUCAAAGCAAAUUUGCCUAAAGCUCAAGCUAGGAUGAAGACUAUUGUUAAUGGUAAAAGGACUGACAGGAACUACUCCAUUGGGGAUUGGGUGUUGAAACAUGAAUCCAACAAGCACACAUUUAGUAAUCAUAUAGCCGAAAUGUAUUUAAGAAAAAAGGUUCACUUUUUACUCAUUAUCAAAUAAAUUUCACCAAGAUACUGCCUCUCAUUUUCAUAAAACAUAUAUCAAAAUUCUCAAUUGAUUAAAAAUUGAAGAUAAGAGUCAAAUAGGGACACUAAAACAACCCUCCAACUCAAAUUAUUUUAAACAUAACGUCAAACUCUAUCCAAUUAUAAAGACGCAAUCAACAUUUAAGCGGAAAUAUGGUAACAAAACAUCUUUAAAUACUAUAAAUACUAUAUAGACAUGACUAAGCCAUAGGGAAAAGAAAUAAAAAUAAAAGCAACAACUUGAGUUCUAUCAUCUUCUUAACUAGUAAAGAUACAAACAUUGAAUCCAUCAACACACUUAAACACCAAUGAGAUAAACAUUUUAAAACUGUCAAGCUUUACACAACAAUGACAAAUACUCAACAGUUGUCUUACACAAAUCUUUCAAGAGUGUGAACACCUUGCAUAUAUAAGAUAAAGCUGUUGAUUCACAAUGACAACAAGCAUCCGCAUAAACUUAGUAAAGCUUGAAUCUUAUCAACAAAAUGCACCAAUAAUUGAAUUAGAACACAAUCUUCAUUCUUAGAAAUUUCAAGUAAUGUUGAGCAAUAUCCAUCCCGCGAGCAUAAAAGCAAAAAUAAUAAGAAUUCAAGAUUCCCAUACCAAUUGUGAAAAAAGAAACAGAAAACAACACUACAAACUAAAUGCUACCACAAUGACAAAAUCCAUGAAUCAAUUCAAUCAUUAUAAGAUGACAAAGAAAACACAUAAUUUCAUCAUAUGAAACCUAUUUCCUUCCAAGCCUUCUACAAUAAAUAAUCCCACCAUCAAUAUGCUUACGAACGAAAAUUACUAACACGAAGAAUGAUAAGAAUAAAUAAUAAAGAAAUUAAAAGAGAAAGAUGGGUUUACCUUUUUCCGAACAGCGAAUGGGAUGACAAGCCUUAAUCAAAUGGACUUUCACCAUCGAAGUUCCGAUUAGCCUUGCCAGAGUUCAACAAUUUUGCUAGAAUCUGGUUUUUGGAGUGAGUUCGUAGAGAAUUUCUGGUUGUGUGAAGUUAAUAGCACGCGCCUCCCAAACCUCAAAAUUUUUCCACAAAAAUCCUCCCCCUUUCCACUAUCUUUCAACCUCUAUUUAUAGGGGAAUUUUGGAUGAAAAAAUUUAGGGUUUCAAAUUUGAAAAGUUGGAUUUCAAAUCCGAAUUUCUUGUAUCCAUUGGUUUCUUAUCAAAAAUAGAUGAACAUAAUCUGAGAAAGGAAAAAGUUAAUGAAAUUCUUAGCCAUUCUUGGCUAUACGGAGAGGUAAAAGGGUAAGAAAUUAGAAAUGGCUAGGUUGACUACGGUUGGUGACGAGUUGAAGCCGUUGUUCUUUGUUGAUAUUACAACAUUAAUGUUGGAGCGGUUCUCGUUGUUGUUGUUGAUAAUGUUGUCUGUUUGUUUUUUGGUAUAUUGUUAGAGUGUUGCUGAUAGGUAAAGGGGAAAGGGAAUUGGAGCUGGGUCGGGUUGGUGAGUGAAUUGGGCCGCUGGUCUGUUUUUGUUGAGGGGUAAGGAAAUUGCGUUGUUGGUGGUGGUGGGUUGUUAGAAGAGGAUAUAAGGGGUGAAGGUUGUGAGUCGUUAGGGUGGUCUAAUUAGGUCGAUUAAUUUGGGAGGAAUUUUGGGCUGGUGGGUUAAGAAAAUUGAAGGAAAGGUGUCUUUUAAGACUUAAAUAAAGGAUUGGUGACAUUGACCAAUUUAAAGGGUCAAACAUAAUUAAAAAACUUGAUUAG